RNAcentral lists this ribosomal RNA (484 nucleotides) under uncultured bacterium. RNAcentral's name for it is "partial 16S ribosomal RNA". It matches the Rfam family "Bacterial small subunit ribosomal RNA", at positions 30 to 507 of the family's 1533-position model. The record is from RNAcentral.
AUUGAACGCUGGCGGCAGGCCUAACACAUGCAAGUCGAGCGGAUGAAGGGAGCUUGCUCCUGGAUUCAGCGGCGGACGGGUGAGUAAUGCCUAGGAAUCUGCCUGGUAGUUGGGGAUAACGUCCGGAAACGGGCGCUAAUCCCGCAUACGUCCUGAGGGAGAAAGUGGGGGAUCUUCGGACCUCACGCUAUCAGAUGACCCUAGGUCGGAUUAGCUAGUUGGUGGGGUAAAGGCCUACCAAGGCGACGAUCCGUAACUGGUCUGAGAGGAUGAUCAGUCACACUGGAACUGAGACACGGUCCAGACUCCUACGGGAGGCAGCAGUGGGGAAUAUUGGACAAUGGGCGAAAGCCUGAUCCAGCAAUGCCGCGUGUGUGAAGAAGGUCUUCGGAUUGUAAAGCACUUUAAGUUGGGAGGAAGGACAGUAAGUUAAUACAUUGCUGUUUUGACGUUACCAACAGAAUAAGCACCGGCUAACUUCGUG